This 433-nucleotide ribosomal RNA is filed under the name uncultured bacterium. RNAcentral's name for it is "partial 16S ribosomal RNA". It matches the Rfam family "Bacterial small subunit ribosomal RNA", at positions 29 to 507 of the family's 1533-position model. The record is from RNAcentral.
AACGAACGCUGGCGGCAGGCCUAACACAUGCAAGUCGAGCGGACCUUUCGGGGUCAGCGGCGGACGGGUGAGUAACGCGUGGGAAUAUGCCCUUCUCUACGGAAUAGUCCUGGGAAACUGGGGGUAAUACCGUAUACGCCCUUUGGGGGAAAGAUUUAUCGGGGAAGGAUUAGCCCGCGUUGGAUUAGGUAGUUGGUGGGGUAAUGGCCUACCAAGCCGACGAUCCAUAGCUGGUUUGAGAGGAUGAUCAGCCACACUGGGACUGAGACACGGCCCAGACUCCUACGGGAGGCAGCAGUGGGGAAUCUUAGACAAUGGGGGCAACCCUGAUCUAGCCAUGCCGCGUGAGUGAUGAAGGCCUUAGGGUUGUAAAGCUCUUUAAGCUGGGAAGAUAAUGACGGUACCAGCAGAAGAAGCCCCGGCUAACUCCGUG